GGUAAUUCCAGCUCCAAUAGUGUAUAUUAAAGUUGUUGUGGUUAAAAAGCUCGUAGUUGGAUCUCGGCAGGCAGGGGGCGGUCCGUUAUUUGACGCGACUGCCCCGUUUGCCUGUGUUUCUUUGGCGGAACUCGCAGGGUGCUCUUCGCCGAGUGUCCUGUCGGGGCCGCCGGGUUUACUUUGAAAAAAUUAGAGUGCUCCAAGCAGGCUCGACACGCCUGAAUAUCCGUGCAUGGAAUAAUGGAAUAGGACGUCGUUCCUAUUUUGUUGGUUUUAGGGAAUCGACGUAAUGAUUAAUAGGGACAGCCGGGGGCAUUAGUAUUCAGACGACAGAGGUGAAAUUCUUGGACCGUCUGGCGACUCACUGCUGCGAAAGCGUUUGCCAAGUAUGUUUUCAUUAAUCAAGAACGAAAGUUAGAGGUUCGAAGGCGAUCAGAUACCGCCCUAGUUCUAACCAUAAACGAUGCCAGCUAGCGAUCUGCGGGCGUUUUUAUUGUAGGCCCCGCAGGAAGCUUCCGGGAAACCAAAGCUUUUGGGUUCCAGGGAAAGUAUGAUUGCAAAAUUGAAAUUUAAAGAAAUUGACGGAACGGCACCACCAGGCGUGGAACUUGCGGCUUAAUUUGACUCAACACUGGAAAUCUCACCAGGCCCGGACACCGGAAGGAUUGACAGAUUGAGAGCUCUUUCUCGAUUCGGUGGGUGGUGGUGCAUG
RNAcentral lists this ribosomal RNA (712 nucleotides) under Mesocyclops leuckarti. RNAcentral's name for it is "SSU rRNA". It matches the Rfam family "Eukaryotic small subunit ribosomal RNA", at positions 578 to 1286 of the family's 1831-position model. Lineage: Eukaryota; Metazoa; Arthropoda; Copepoda; Cyclopoida; Cyclopidae. The record is from RNAcentral.